UACGAAGGGGGCUAGCGUUGCUCGGAAUGACUGGGCGUAAAGGGCGCGUAGGCGGCCUGGACAGUCGGAUGUGAAAUUCCUGGGCUCAACCUGGGGGCUGCAUCCGAGACGUUUGGGCUGGAGUGAGGAAGAGGGUCGUGGAAUUCCCAGUGUAGAGGUGAAAUUCGUAGAUAUUGGGAAGAACACCGGUGGCGAAGGCGGCGACCUGGUCCUUUACUGACGCUGAGGCGCGAAAGCGUGGGGAGCAAACAGG
This 253-nucleotide ribosomal RNA is filed under the name uncultured bacterium. RNAcentral describes it as "partial 16S ribosomal RNA". It matches the Rfam family "Bacterial small subunit ribosomal RNA", at positions 524 to 776 of the family's 1533-position model. The record is from RNAcentral.